Long non-coding RNA from Neofelis nebulosa (Clouded leopard), 8599 nucleotides. RefSeq lists it as uncharacterized. The transcript has 6 exons. NCBI's taxonomy places the organism in Eukaryota, Metazoa, Chordata, Mammalia, Carnivora, Felidae. The record is from RefSeq and is a predicted model, not a curated record.
UGAGAAGCUCUGCCUGCCACAGAACAUGUAGGUUCCCCACACGGUUCCAGUUUACUCUGACACUGCUGUGGCCCCAAAAGACUCAGCUGCCAAGAACUGUAUCAAAACCAGAAUUUUCAAGAUGAGCGGAGUUGGGAGUCUUCCCAAUCCUGUGACCAGCACAGAGCUCUCAGUCGGUCAUCUGAUGACAAGGAGAUGAGGAAUUAUGUGUCCCCAAGUAUUUCAUCUUCCAAUUGAUUUUUAAAACUGAGAAAUCUUCAUUGUGCAGGGGAAUACAAACAGGACAGAGAAGUGACAGUGGUGACAGUUGGUUAUUGAAGUCACCAUAGAAACCCACAAACACAGUCUCACGCAUGUGCACUCACACACACACACACCACACACAAAUGCCCCACACGGUGUUUUCUCAGAACCGCUGUCUUUUAAAAUCCAGAGGACCAAAAGCGUAUUUUAAAAUGACCCACAUACAGUGCAACUGAAAGCACCAAUCAUCAGGACAAACACGUGACAGGAAGGGCACAGGGUUGCGAAGUUAAAAGUAAAGAAAUGGAUUUCACCUCUGACUUCCAGGACCCUGUCUCUAAAAUUUUGCUUGUCUGCUAGGCUACCCAGCCUGCCGGCGGGCCAGACAGCAGCAGCGGAUUAUAGUUUUCUCUCCUAUUUCCAGAUACCGGCUUUUCGUGAAGUCACUGGCUCUAUAAUGCGGUUACUCCUGGGUACCUUUUCACUCCCUCUGUCCUAGAGGUUUCUGCUGCCUGGAGGGGACCUGGAGGUCAGCCAGCUGGGCAGGAAGGCACUUCUGUAUCAGGCCUCUUCAACUCCUUCAGUGAUAAGGAAGGGCCCAAGACAUCCGUGUCCCCAGACACUGAGUUUGGAGACAAUCUGGUUCAUGGCUGGGCAUAGUCAGACAAACUCUGAGGUUGAGCUGUGUUUUACUGCCUGGCGUAGCCACACACCAGCAGACCUUGACAGGUUUCCUCAGGAACUGGCAGGGACCUGGAGCCCUUCCCACACACCAGCUGUCAGCUCCCAGGACUGGCAGGUUCCUAGAGAUGCAGACAGGACACUGAGUGCUUUGGGGCCAGCCAGACAUGCAGCAGACAGCCAAGGGAUGGCAGCACCCGCAGCCAGCCGUGACCCUUUUCUGGGCCCUGUCCAGCCCCCGGGGGGCUGUCAGACUGGGAGAGGAUGAACAGGGGGGAGGCUUAGCUCCUGAUUCCCUGGCCUUACUCUCUGACCUCACCACCUUGCCUUGGGUUGGUUCUGAACUCGCACAAGUGGUCGGCACUUGGUAGAAGAGGAGACAGAUGGGGAACCCCCGCCCACUCUGCCUUUUUCCUGUGCUCCUCCUGAUCCCAGGACAGACCUGGACUUAAGUCAGCUUCCGCUGAGGUGCCUGUGGAAUGUUACCGUUGAAAUGGAGCUUACAAGUUCUAGUCCAGUGGAUUUCGAGCCUCUUCAAAUCUCAAAAUCCUUGGUAAACAAGCCUGAGAAAAGCAAACCAGCUGUGGCUAAGUUGGGGUGGGAGGCCCAGAGCCGCCCUGACCCCCAGCACCUGCUAGAGUCCAUCGGGGACAUUUUGACCCGCAGGACAUUUUGAAAGUCACAAGUCUAGUCCAGCGCCCUAGUCAAGCAGGGACCAUCUCCACAGCAUCUCUGUAAUCCUGGAAAGCAGGGAGAUUGCUAGCUCACAAAACAGCCAAUUCCAAAGCUGGGUGGUAUUUUCGGUCAGAAUGUUUUGCCAGAUGCUGAGCACGCCUAACUUCCUACAGAUUUUUCCAGUUUGACCAGCUCCCAUAGUUUAGGUGUGGCCGUGGAGGGUUGCUCAUCUAUCAUGAGCUAAGAACAGUCCCUUCCCUUGAUGUGAGCAUCGAUAUGUUCGUCACGAACGAUUUCAUUCGAUCUUUACAACACUGUAAGUAUUAGUGACCCAUUUUAUGAUUAGGGACAUGGAGGUACAGAGAAGCUUAAGCAGUUGGCCCGCAGUCACACAACUAUACAUGAGGAAGCAGAAUUUGAACCAGGUCUAUCUGACACAACAGCACGGGUCCUUUUCACUAUGCUACUCUGCCUCUCUGGUGAGGCAGGGGUCAGAAUAGGACACAGGUGCAGGAGCCCGCUCUCCGCACAGCCCUGUCCCCUGCCCUCUUGGGACUUCACAUUUGUUGGUAAACAACCAAGUCAGCAGAGCACUGUUUUCCAGAGCCUUGGACGUUCCAGAGCACAUGUGAAACUCCCCUUGCUCCUGAUAGGAACGGAGUCCCAGAGACGUGGUCGCUUAAGACAGAGCCAGAACCAACACCCCCCCCACUGCUGCCUGGGCUUCUUCACCCACCAUCAUGCCGCCUUCAGUUGGUUUCUAGUGAAGGACAGGCCUUCACAGAAGAAGAGCCCCUCUCCGAGGGGCGGCGAGGUGCUGCGAGGUGCUGCGGUCCCCCCACCACUCACCAUUCGAUGAAUGUACUUAGUAUGUAAGCCAUGCUCAUCCUCGUCCAGCUGUGAUUCGGCACCUUCCACAUCCUGUUUGUAUUUGGGGCUGAUUGCUACAAUUAUCAUCACUGUCUUCUGUUAAUGAGAGAGAAAGCAUGUUUAUGGAAGUGUAAAGUGUGGUCCAUUUGGGAAAGGCAGGCUGGAAACCGGCCGGCAGGACUGUAAGCGUCGUGACAUGCUCCAGAGUGGAGGGCCUGGCUCGUUCUCUGCCCAGGGUGAAAGGCACUGGCCUCCACUCCAACAGGCUCCUGUCUCCCCUUCUCCCCUCCGUCUCCCUCCCGGCUCCCUUGAAAUGCAGAGCAAAUGGCUCUGUGAGGAGCUCUCCUAAAUGGAGGCGGUUUUGCCCACCAUUGUCCACAACCAUCACUAAUAAACGUCUAAUGAAAGCCGGAAUCGCUAAGUGACUAUGCAUCGUGGCAAAAAGGCUCCGGAACAUCACCAAUGAAAAGCCCCCUCCCUCCGGCAGCUGGGUGUAAGCUGUCAGUUACUGCACUCUUGACUGCCCUGCGUGCCACGAGCGCUUACGAGUCAGCACAGCCAGGAGGAGCAGCCCCUUCAACACAAAGCAAACAUCAGGCUGCAGACAAAAGGAAAAGCCACAAAACCCCAGCCUGCUGAGACUCUCUCCCCCACCGCUCUCUCCAAAAGAAGCAGCUGAAGCAGCCGACACGGACACACUGGCAGCAAUCAAUUUCUAUCUUGUUAAAGCACAAAGUGUCCCAGUGGUCUCUACCAAAGUCCACAGCAUCUGUCAGGCCAACUUUUCCACACAGCCGCUGUUAAAGGCCACAUUGUUUCCCCCAAAACUCACAUGUUGAAGUCUUAACCUCCACUGACUCAAUGUGACUAUAUUUGGAGAUAGAGCCUUGAGAGAGGUGAUUAAGGUAAAAUGGGGUCAUGUGGAUGGGCUCUGAUCUAAUAGGACUGGUGUCCUUAGAAGAGAUUAGGACACACAGAGGGAAGACUGGUGGAGACACAGGAAGAAGACGGCCACCUGCAAACCAAGGAAGAGGCCCGUAAUGAAACCAGUCUUGCCGACACCUUUAUCUUGGACAUCCAGACUCCAGAACUAUGAGGAAAUAAAUUUCUUUUGCUUAAGCAUGUGGUACUUCAUGGCAGCCCUAGCAACCCAUACGGCCUCCCUCUUCAGGUUGCCAUAGCCACUGUUCCCUUGCCUCUUUAGACUUAAGGGUGGUGGCAACUUCCUGCUGUUGCUGUAGGCCCAGGAUAUGCUCUGCUCCCUGAGGAUUUCUUAAAAUUUACCUAGAACUUUGAAAAUAGUCCUUUCGGGGUGCCUGGGUGGCUCCGUCGGUUAAGCGUCCGACUUUGGCUCAGGUCAUGAUCUCACAGUUCGUGAGUUCGAGCCCUGCGUCGGGCUCUGGGCUGACGGCUCAGAGCCUAGAGCCUGCUUCACAUUCUGUGUCUCCCUCUCUCUCUGCCCCUUCCUUGCUCAUGCUGUGUCUCUCUCUGUCUCAAAACUAAAUAAACAUUUUUAAAAAAAUUAAAAAAAAAAAAAGAAAAUAGUCCUUUCAUUAAACUUUCCUUAAAUUACCCAUUAAGUGUUUUUCUCCACUAAGGGACUCUUGAUAUAUCAAUAUAGUAACUUAGCUGUCCAGGAUGGGGCUCUGUGAUUCUAAUACAAGGUUUCAUGGUGAUACAAAUUAAGGACAGAUUUAAAUUCCGUCUAAGGCGUCCCUGACUCUUAAGUUCAUAAAAACCUGUCCUCUUCUCCAAGGGCAAUCAGUAUGCUUUUUUGGAAAUGACCAAAAGUAAGAUCUUUUCUGCAAAUGUUGGCCUUAGGACCUGUAAUUUGAUUUUACAUCCUGGUUGCCGCAGUGCUUUCUUUCUCUAGAAACGAGAAAUUGAAAUGUUGGCUUCUAUACAGUCACUUAAGUUGGAAUGUAUAAAUUGUAUCCAUUUUUAACCUUGUAGAUGCUCCUAUUAAAAAAAUUAUAGAAUAAAGAGAAAUUCAAUAAAAACUGUUAAAUAACGCUAAGUAAUGUUUAAAAUUGACAUUUAGUUGCCAAGUAUUCUCUUUUUAUCCUUCCACAUUCCUAUUCAUAGAUAUUUUCCUUAAUUUUUCAGCACUGUCUAGAAUUUACUAUCACUCAAUACCCAAAGGGGGCCUCUGGGAAGGAAGAGAAGUGAGCUCAGUGUUUUAGGAAAGCCAGUCCUUUGAGUCGCCUCCUGUGGUAUUUUGUUUAUCCUACAGAAGAACUUACAUGACUUUAAGCUGUGCUGUUGGAAGGCACUGCAGGGAAACUUGAGGAGUGUGUGCUUCCUGAGAUUUCUUGGGCCAAGGUCACAGUGAACUGCAGGGCUGGGUUGUCUACCUCCCCUAGAACUAGACGAGACCAGCUGAGAAUCAGGCCAUGUAUUCCCUGCCCAGAGGGGCUGCUGCUGCAUCAAGAUGUGGAAGGCAGCUGUGCACAGUGGGCCUUGACCUCAGACCUUACAGCCUAGUGCCCUACAGAAGGGCCUUGUACAAUAAGCAGGUGGCCUGGUUAAGCCUGAGGCCUCCUGCAUCACAGGAAACACAACCAAAGCAGGCUUGCUUGGUGAAAAAAAAAAGAAAAAGAAAAAAAGGGCAAAGGUAGAAGUGCAUUAAGAGCCUGGCAUUUCCUUUGGGUUGGGGGCCAAGCUGCGUCUGUGGUCAGCGCUGACUACCACCGUUCCGGCUGUUCAGAGGUUCUCAGGGUCACUCCAAAAGCACACAGGAAGUAACUGCUGGAGACUCUGGAGAGUUUAAAAUCUAGAAAAUAAUUACCUACAUCUAUAAGCGUUUAGCUCCUAAUCACGUAACUCAGAUAAUAUAGUUUAAAACGUCAACAGCUAUUUUGUUUUGCUUCUCAUUGUACUUGCUUUAUUAUUUUUUUAAGUUUAUUUAUUUCUGAGAGAGCGCAAGCGCAUGCACACACAUGAGUGGGGGAGGGGCAGAGAGAGAGGGAGACACAGAAUCUGAAGCAGGCUCCAGGCUCUGAGCUGUCUGCACAGAGCCUGACACAAUGCUCGAACUCACGAACCAUGAGAUCAUGUCCUGAGCCUAAGCUGGAUGCUUAACUGACUGAGCCCUCCCCAGCUGCCCCUCAUUGUACUCACAAGUCUUCUCUUUGGAGAAAAUACUUACUGCAGUUUGGAAGCCAUUUACCAACAAAAAGUUCACGAAUUUCACCACCUCCGUGGCUGUGUCCAUAGAAUAGGUGAUAAAGACUUUCCCUAAGAGAGAGUUUUCACAUUUAUUAGAAACUAGUCAAAUCAUUCUAUUCUGAACACUUGUAAAUUGUAUGCAAUGUUUCUUGUCUUUUUAGACUUAUAAAGUGAAACUUUAUCUGGGGUUGGUCUGAGGGCUUAUGCCUGCAGCUGUGUGCAUCACUAGGCCCCAAGGGGCGGCAGGGGUCUGUCCGAGGGGCUGCAGACUGCCCAGUGUGCAUGGGAAGAACAGUGCUGGUGGCCUGAGCCCAGCCAAGGAGGUCUGCUGAAAAAUCACACGAUGCAUUAACAACAUCUAUCACCCAGAACCUGAGGGGCCUUAAGAUCAGGCCACCUCCUGGUUUCUUAGAGACACUUGGCACUGUGCCUGAGGAAUACUCUCACAGCAGGCCAAGAAGCUGAACCUUGCUAAGGGGCCACCCAGCAGUGUCCUCUUUUGAUCUCAUGAUGCUCUCUGCUCCCCGAGCUCUUGCUCAACAAAAGCAAAUGGGGGGAGAGGGAGCAGGUGGUUCCCUACCACCUCCUUCCCCUUACCACUCACUGCUGGGAGAAACGCCAGGAAAUGAGGGUACACCAAAGCAUGGAUCGGGAAUGUUAGUAGGAACUUCAGCAGCUUGAAGGACAGAUUCCACCUCUGGGCAUCCAGUGUCACUUAUUCUCUGGCUCCUCCCUGGGUCAGCCUGGAGCAACAGAUGGCAUUGUGCCCACAGACCUGACCCAGUCAGGAUGGCAAGCCAAUGUUUUAUCAGGCUAAAAUCUUGGGGAAAUUUCUGGGUAGCAUGUUAAUGUGAUAGAUGAAUAAUCUCUGUGUGCUGGCUUUUAGUCUGGAAGAGACAAGCUCAAUAUCAGGAAGUCCCUGGGGCAGGAGAUGGAGAAGAAAGGAAAGUUGGAGAGAAAAUAUGAGUUUGUAUGUAUUCAUCUAUGCUUGGGCUCUGGACUUUUGAAACAAAGAUCUCAAAUAGAAGCGUGUACAAUGCUCAUACUGACUCAUUUAAGCAGCCCGACAUAUCGAUGGCCCUCAAUGUAUUCUUAACACCUAAUAUUCAACCAAUUCCUAGUUAAGAAUUUCCAGACUCCUUUAUAGAUUAUGGUAAGACAAAUAUGAUCUAUAGAUUGACAUGAGGGUUAUAUCCUAUGCAGGACAGCAUCCAUUCUCCACAAGUGCUCAAGAUUAAAAUGUAUAAGAUUUUGAAAAGAUUAAAAAAUUUUUUUUGGAUGAUAAACAACAAUGGAUCCUUACCAUAGAUAUCUUCCAGAGCCCUAAAUGACUAAUGAGCACAGAUUCCCCCGAUAAGAGUUAGCAAAUGCAGAAGGCUUAAUUUUCAAGUUUGGUUCAAAAAAGCACCCAGGUUUCUAAAGGGCUUAUUAGAAUUACCUGAACUUCUCUAGCAAGCACAACAGAAUAUAACAAUUUCACAAGUAGUGGCUGUUUUCAUAAGAUUUCUGGAACUUACUGUCCUGACUGACCUUAAUAUGAGAACAUUUUGGUGAUAUUUCAACAUUUCUGGUUCUGGCUGCAAAAUCUGGAAAGAGAAUCAUCACCUGACACUUAGUCGAAUGUUUCUUUAAAUAAAAGGCUUGGUUUGCAUUGGUUGUAAAACAGUAUGGAGAAUGUGAGACCGCUUUUUCCAAACAAGAUUGCUCAUUCCUACAGGAAAUGACCUCGUUCCUGAUGGCUGUUGCUAAUUUAUGGUGAAACACUAGGUCCCUGGCCAAUACCACAUGGACAUCCAAUUAAUUUACCCAGGGACAAGUCCACUCAAGAGCAUCAUUCAGAAGAGAGAAGCGUUGGAGUUAUUUGUUGUUGGAGUAUAUGUUUAAGAAAAUCUAAUGCUGUGAAAUUGGAUAUGCCACACAACAUGCUCUUCGGCUGGUCAGGAAACAAAGAAUUUAAACUUCAUGAGGAUGUGAUUUUUGACUGUUGGGCUCAUGGCUAUCUUCUCACCAUCUAGAGCUGUUCCUGGCACAUAAAUAUUUAUGGACUGAAUAAGUGAUGGAUGCCUGUUUUUGGAAAGAGUACAGAUCUGUGUGGCUGGAAGGAUCACUGACAGUGAGAACAUCAGGCACCAUGGGCUUCUCACAUGAUAUCCACAUGGUUACAUGGCCUGUGCUCCAGUCCCCAACAGGGGGUGGCACUUGGAGUGAAAUGGAAAAACCUCUGUGUCCUACCACUGUUCUAGAGGAGAAGGCUCUGACUCCCCAGAGGGACAGAAGAGCUGCCAGCCAGGACCCUGCAAGCCUGAGUGGCAAUGCCCCGGAUAGAUGCUCGUGGACAUCCUGUCCAACUCAGCAAGCCUGGGGGAAGCUGGGACUGGUCAGCCGGUCAGCCAGAAGGAUAAUGGUCAAGUCUACCUGGCCUCGGGGCAAAUUCCUGGGGAAAGGGAGAGGCUAGCGGGUGAGAGAACUCAACUUAAGGGAGUCUUCUGGCUCAGAAUCUCUUUUUGAGGCUCAGAACACAGGUGCUCAAGCCCCACACCUAGAGAUUCUGAGGUGAGGUCAGGGCUCCCGUGUAUCUUUGUUUAAGUCCCACAGGUACGCAGAUUUUCUUGUACUUGUACUCUGUGAUCUGUGCCAUUUGGCAGGAACUAUCAGAAUUUUAAACGUUUAUGCCUUUUGACCUAGUAAUUUCACUUCUAAGAAUUUCCUCUACAGGGAUACGGGUGUACCCUGCGAAAUGAAGAGGCUCUGAAGAUAGGCGAUGCAGCCUUGUUUGUAAUAGCAAAGACUAGAAACAACCCACAUGUGCAGAAAGGUUCUGAUUUUUAAAAACUGUGGUCCGGCCAAACAACGACUGCUCUGGGUCUUUUUUAAAAAGACAGAGGAAGUGCUCUGGGGACUGAUGUGGAACGAUGUCCAAGAUUUAUUUGUGAAGUUAGGAAAAGUAAAGAGGAGGACAGUG